RNAcentral lists this ribosomal RNA (501 nucleotides) under uncultured bacterium. RNAcentral's name for it is "partial 16S ribosomal RNA". It matches the Rfam family "Bacterial small subunit ribosomal RNA", at positions 30 to 523 of the family's 1533-position model. The record is from RNAcentral.
AUUGAACGCUGGCGGCAGGCUUAACACAUGCAAGUCGAGCGGGGGAAGGUAGCUUGCUACCGGACCUAGCGGCGGACGGGUGAGUAAUGCUUAGGAAUCUGCCUAUUAGUGGGGGACAACAUCUCGAAAGGGAUGCUAAUACCGCAUACGUCCUACGGGAGAAAGCAGGGGAUCUUCGGACCUUGCGCUAAUAGAUGAGCCUAAGUCGGAUUAGCUAGUUGGUGGGGUAAAGGCCUACCAAGGCGACGAUCUGUAGCGGGUCCGAGAGGAUGAUCCGCCACACUGGGACUGAGACACGGCCCAGACUCCUACGGGAGGCAGCAGUGGGGAAUAUUGGACAAUGGGGGGAACCCUGAUCCAGCCAUGCCGCGUGUGUGAAGAAGGCCUUAUGGUUGUAAAGCACUUUAAGCGAGGAGGGGGCUACUUUAGUUAAUACCUAGAGAUAGUGGACGUUACUCGCAGAAUAAGCACCGGCUAACUCUGUGCCAGCCGCCGCAGUAA